This 474-nucleotide ribosomal RNA is filed under the name uncultured organism. Its description in RNAcentral is "partial 16S ribosomal RNA". It matches the Rfam family "Bacterial small subunit ribosomal RNA", at positions 332 to 797 of the family's 1533-position model. The record is from RNAcentral.
UACACUCCUACGGGAGGCAGCAGUGGGGAAUUUUGGACAAUGGGGGCAACCCUGAUCCAGCAAUGCCGCGUGAGUGAAGAAGGCCUUCGGGUUGUAAAGCUCUUUUGUCAGGGAAGAAACGGUGGUGGCGAAUAACUACUACUAAUGACGGUACCUGAAGAAUAAGCACCGGCUAACUACGUGCCAGCAGCCGCGGUAAUACGUAGGGUGCAAGCGUUAAUCGGAAUUACUGGGCGUAAAGCGUGCGCAGGCGGUUGUGUAAGUCAGAUGUGAAAUCCCCGGGCUCAACCUGGGAAUUGCAUUUGAGACUGCACGGCUAGAGUGUGUCAGAGGGGGGUAGAAUUCCACGUGUAGCAGUGAAAUGCGUAGAUAUGUGGAGGAAUACCGAUGGCGAAGGCAGCCCCCUGGGAUAACACUGACGCUCAUGCACGAAAGCGUGGGGAGCAAACAGGAUUAGAUACCCCUGUAGUCCCA